RNAcentral lists this long non-coding RNA (403 nucleotides) under Mytilus galloprovincialis (Mediterranean mussel). Lineage: Eukaryota; Metazoa; Mollusca; Bivalvia; Mytilida; Mytilidae. The record is from RNAcentral.
AUGGUGUCUUCUUAUGUCAUAUAAAUUACAAUGUAUGUUAUUAUUCACAGUUCUGUAGUUUAUUUCGCCAUCGCCAUCUGUAUUUAUAUUAAAUGAUUGUCUAAAAUGUUAACUUGGCAUGCCAUACUUGGUAGAAAUGCGGACGUGAAAGAAAGCACUUUUCACAAAAGUGUCAUCGGAGAUUAAAACAUUCCAGGGCGACGAUUUCGUCAAUUAUGAAACAAAAUAAGUAUAUGCACUGUUUGAGUAUGAACCAGUUAUUAUAUUCAUUCACAAUUACGUUCCCAGAAUUUCUCUGAAGUUUGUCACAGUUCCGUCUAAUUUGGGUCAAAUUUCGACGGUCUGCUAAAAUGUCACUUUAAAUUCAAGAAUAAUGAAUUAUACAGGAAUAUCCUGUUUUCCU